GAUUAUGGCUCAGGAUGAACGCUGGCGGCGUGCCUAACACAUGCAAGUCGAGCGAUUCUCUUCGGAGAAGAGCGGCGGACGGGUGAGUAACGCGUGGGUAACCUGCCUCAUACACAUGGAUAACAUACCGAAAGGUAUGCUAAUACUGGAUAAUAUAAGAGAUUCACAUGGAUUUCUUAUCAAAGCUCCGGCGGUAUGAGAUGGACCCGCGUCUGAUUAGCUAGUUGGCAAGGUAACGGCUUACCAAGGCGACGAUCAGUAGCCGACCUGAGAGGGUGAUCGGCCACAUUGGAACUGAGACACGGUCCAAACUCCUACGGGAGGCAGCAGUGGGGAAUAUUGCACAAUGGGCGAAAGCCUGAUGCCAGCAACGCCGCGUGAGCGAUGAAGGCCUUCGGGUCGUAAAACUCUGUCCUCAAGGAAGAUAAUGACGGUACUUGAGGAGGAAGCCCCGGCUAACUACGUGCCAGCAGCGGC
Molecule: ribosomal RNA, 477 nt
Filed under: uncultured bacterium
Lineage: Bacteria
Description: bacterial SSU rRNA
Rfam family: Bacterial small subunit ribosomal RNA
Source: RNAcentral